Molecule: transfer RNA, 87 nt
Filed under: Endozoicomonas acroporae
Lineage: Bacteria; Pseudomonadati; Pseudomonadota; Gammaproteobacteria; Oceanospirillales; Endozoicomonadaceae
Also listed under: 3 other names
Description: tRNA-Leu
Rfam family: tRNA
About the family: Transfer RNA (tRNA) molecules are approximately 80 nucleotides in length. Their secondary structure includes four short double-helical elements and three loops (D, anti-codon, and T loops).
Source: RNAcentral
GCCCAGGUGGCGGAAUUGGUAGACGCGCCAGCUUCAGGUGCUGGUAACUGUAUGGUUGUGGAAGUUCGAGUCUUCUCCUGGGCACCA